This 37158-nucleotide long non-coding RNA is filed under the name Prunus persica (peach). RNAcentral's name for it is "long non-coding RNA (PPER_LNC001429)". Lineage: Eukaryota; Viridiplantae; Streptophyta; Magnoliopsida; Rosales; Rosaceae. The record is from RNAcentral.
CAAAGACCCACUCACCCAAUCCGCCGCCACCACCCUCCCCGCCAAGUCUGGUAUCGUUAUCGGCUCAGGGAACUACAUUGUCACCGUCAGCCUCGGUACACCAGCCAAGCAACUCUCCCUCGUCUUCGACACUGGCAGCGACCUCACCUGGACCCAAUGCCAGCCAUGUCCUACUACUCGGUCUUGUUACAAACAGACUGAGCCCAUCUUCAACCCUUCUCUCUCCGCCUCAUACAAAAAGAUCCCAUGUACCACCGCCGCGUGUACUCAGCUCCCAUCCUCCGGCCUCGAACAAAGCUGCUCCGCCUCCACCUGCCUUUACAUCGCCGUUUACGGUGACAACUCCUUCUCUAAAGGGGUAUUUGGCAGCGAAAAGCUUACAUUGACCCCUACGGACGUUUUUGAAAGUUUCCUCUUCGGCUGCGGCCUAGACAACGGAGGCCUAUUCAGAGGAUCCGCCGGUUUGCUAGGUCUCGGCCGGAGCAGCAUCUCCUUCGUCGAGCAAACCGCCAAUAAAUACAACCGGUUCUUCUCCUACUGCCUCCCGUCGACUUCCAGCUCCACCGGUCACCUCACCUUCGGUGACGGAGGCUCUCCUAACGGCGUUAAGUUCACGAAGCUCAUCACGUCAUCCCAAAGCGAGUCGUUUUACGGCCUCGGCCUCGCCGGCAUCAAAGUCGGUGGGAGCCAGCUGUCGAUUGCGCCCUCGGUCUUUUCGUCUUCUGGAACGAUCAUCGACUCGGGGACGGUGAUCACGAGGUUGCCGGCGACGGCAUACGCAGUGUUGCGGGGCGCGUUUCGGGAGGCGAUGAAGAACUACACACUGACUAAUGGCGAUUCGUUGCUGGACACGUGUUACGAUUUCAGCGGCUUGAACACGGUGUCAUAUCCGAAGAUAGCGUUUGUGUUUGGGGAUGGACUUACGGUGGACUUGGACGCGACCGGGAUAUUGUUUCCGAUAAGUCCUUCGCACGUUUGCUUGGCGUUUGCCGGAAACAAGGAUGAUAGAGACGUCGGGAUUAUUGGGAAUCUUCAACAGAAGAGGUUGGAGGUUGUGUAUGACGUGGCCGGAGGAAAAGUCGGAUUUGCCCCUGCAGGUUGCGAUUGAGUAAUGACGUCGUCCAUGGGUAUAAGUGUAAUACAAACAGCUUGCUAGCUAUAGAAUAAAGCAUUGGGUUACAUAUUUGUGUGUAAUGUUUGUCUGUUGUAAGUCGGUGUCUCCUGUUUUUCUUUUUUGGGUUCUUAUUCUUAAGGGAAAUACCCAUGUAAUUCUUAUUUUCUAGAUAUAAAUUUAACUAUUUCUAAAUAUUUAAGAUAAGUCUUAAACCCAAAUUCCAAAUAUGCUGUCAUUUAAGAUAAUAUAUAUUUGUCCUAGUAUUAUCAGUUAAAUUACAAUAUGUGCCAUUAACCUUCAUCAAUUCCUUCCUUUGUUUGCAACUAAAUUUCAUUUUAGAAUCUAAACCGAACUCUGUGCGUGUCCGACACUUGGCGGGUGCCGGGCACACUUGACUAAAUUGCGCUUCUAACGAAACCGAAGUUCAUCUCAAGUUUGACUUCUGUUGAAAAUUCGGCAGAAUCUUCCAUGUAAAUAGUCGCUACCCCAAAUUGCAUGAAGUUUACAUUCAAGCAAUCCAACAACAUAACUAUAUGGCCUUAGGCUUUACAGAAAUCCUAGGGCAAUUUCAGAGCAAUACUAAUCAGUUUAAUUUACAGGAAUAGUUCAAUUAUAAAAGAAAUCCUACAUAGCGGAAAAGAUGAGUGAAGAGUGGUGACUACCCUGUGGUGGCGCUCUGGUACACGACUACUGCCUUAGGGUGCAAAACAUUUAAAAGUGUGAGUGGACAAAAAUAAACUUUUGGAAAAUAGAAUAUUAACAUACUAACCCCACUGUUAAAACAUUAUGUUCUAUAUUCGUACAAGAAUAAAGACAUACAUAUAACUAAUCACGCAUUCAAAUUCUCAAAACCUUUUGAAGGCACUGUAAAGAAAUAAUAUAUUUCUCACUUAGGUGUACCCAUCAUAUAUCCGUCAAUUCCAUGGUCUUUUACUUAUUUCCCAUAUUAUACCCUCAAUUCCUUGUGUCACAUAAUGCGACACAUCCUCGCAAGUCUCGGAAACACAAAGUCACCGGAGCCGCAUUCCUCGCAAGACUCAGGGGACAUUAAGUCAACCUGAGCCGCAUUCCUCGCACCACACGGUUCGGGCAUCCUCGAAACUAGUGGGGCAUUGUCAAACGCGCACUGACUCAACCGAACGCAACUAGAAUGUCCGUGGACAUUAUUAUAACCGUAGGCAACAAUUUUAUCCGAAGGCAACAUAUUAUUCGAAGGCAACAUAUUAUCUGAAUGCAACAUUUUAUCCGAAGGCAACAUCUUGGGUACCUAUGGUGGUUUAAAAAUAUUUCUUAGAAAAAUUAUACUUUUAUUUCUCAAUAAAUCCUUCAAUCAUAUUAUCACUUCCUUUCCUACUUUCCAAGCCUUUUAAACAUGAACAAAAUUUAAUAAAGAUAUUUGAAUUCAAAUAUUUAUGCUUGGAAAGUAAUAGUCAUAAAUAAUUCAUUCAAAAUCAAUCAAUGAAACUUUAAUUGCAUAAAAUUCAUUUACAAAACAAAAGUUCACUCACUGAGCAUCCGAGCUAGCCUGACUCUUUGAGGGUCUUUCCUGCACGUUCAACGAAAUCUGAGUACCUAUUUAAGCAAUUAAAACAUUUUAUUAAUAAAAUAGCUCAACCACAAUUACUUAUUCAACACCCUGACCCCCGGCCUCAUAAGUGCGUGUACGUGACUUACAAAGGUUACUAGGCCCAUUUUCAACAUUUCUGACAGGUGGAAUGGUCUGAAAAGACCCGAGUUUAAAAAAGCGAUUAAAUUUCCAUAUUGGUAAAUCCGGUACCCCGUCGGGUCCACGACCGCCGAUUACCCAUCUAAGAGUUCCUAUAGGUUCAACACACUUUACUAAACAUGCCCUGCAAGUUUGGUCCGAAUCGAACGAUCGGAUUACUCACGAUCGCACGAUUAUCGUUUAACUUAAACUUUGAAAUAUUGAAUCAGAGUAUCCGAAACUCCGAUUCUCGAUCCGCGAAUUUCUACAUGAUCCCAGAAGCGCCUAAAUCAACCUAAUUGAAAAUGAAGUAGAUCCAACGGUCCCAACAUAUCAAACCAGGAUAACGCCUAAUAUACGAUAUCUGAUCGACGAUCAAACAAUAACCAAAUUGAAAUUCGAGUAUACCGUCGCGCUCAGGACGACGUGGGGAUCAUUCUGGGACAAAAAUCCAACAUUGACACCCCGCCGACGCGCCGCCACCACUGGCAGGUAUAUUGAGUAAUUUUUCGGCGAUCGAAAAACUCCGAACUGCCAGUCAAUAAUCAUACCUACGGAUUAAGCACAUCAAGAGGAGUAAAUAUCAUGAAUCCAAUUGACAUUGGAACAAAGUUGCAAGGUUUGGAAAUGAAUGUAGAUGAAGAUAUGAUGGUUCAUAUUGCUUAGAAUUCACUAUCUAAGGAGUUUAAGUCUCUCAGAGAUACCUACAUUUCUCAAAAGGAAAGCUGGACACGGGAUGAUCUUAUCACCAUAUGUGUUGAACAGUAACACAAUAUAAUAAGAGAAAGAGAUGAAAAAAUGGUGAAUCAGAUGCAGUCAAAGCAAAAUAAGGAAUAUAGGAACAAAGCCAUUGCAGCUGGAAAAGAGAAAGAAAAUGAAAAGGAUAAUAACAGUCCAAAUGCUCUGAAACCAGUGGGAUUGAAAUGCUUCUUCUAUAAGAAAACUGGACAUAUGAAAAAGGAAUACAUAAGGUAUAAGAAAUGGUUGGACAAACAGAAAACUAAAGGUAAAAGUGAUCAAGUUUUGGUUUGCUUUGAAUCUAAUUUAGUUGAUUUUAUUGAUGAUUCAUGGUGGUUAGACAGUGGUGCAUCUAUUCAUGUGACUAAUUCUUUGCAAGGGUUCAUAAAGAGGAGGCUGCCAAGCAAGGAUGAAGUGAAGGUGUUCGUAGGAAAUGGUAGGGGUGGCAUUUUAAACCGAAAAACCGAAAAACCGCAAAAAUCAACCGAUAUUUUACCGCAAUAAAACCGCAAUCGCGGUAAACCGAACCGCAAUCGCGGUAUUAAGAACCGAACCGCAUUUACGGUUGCGGUUGCGGUAUUUGAUUUUCAAAAUUUGCAGUUACCGCAAACCGCAAAGUAUAGCCGCACGGCUAUACUCUAUGAAUAAUUAAGUAAAAUUGUAAACCCUUCUCUUCUCUUGAAUUGGUGGAAAGGGAACCAAACAAGAUAUCCUAUUCUUUCACAAGUUGCCAAGGAUAUCUUUGCAAUUCCAAGUUCUACGGUUGCUAGUGAAAAUGCUUUUAGCCUAGGCAAGAGGAUUGUGGAUCCUUUUAGAAGCUCUUUGCAUCCUAAAAUGGUAGAGGCAUUAGUGUGUACUAGUGAUUGGCUUAGAGCGGACGAAUUUUCCUUUUACAAGGAACCAACAGAUGAUGAGGUUGAAUUCUACAAGGAAAUGGAAGAUAUGACAACUUGUAAGUAAUUAGUUUAUUUAUGCUAAUGUUAUUUAUGCUUCUUCUUAUAAUAAAAUGUACUAAACUAUGUUGUUUUAUUUGUAGAUAGCAUUGGUGCUCAAACAAUACAAAGGGGUUCUUCAAAUCCACUCACCACCAACACUUGAGUUUGUAACAUUGGUGUAUUGCAUUUUUCCUUUUAGUUUGUAACUUUAAUUAACUGUGAAUUGGAUUUUUCUUUUUGAUUGUAACUUUAAUUCAUUUUGCUUUUGGUUUGUAAAUUUAAAGGAUUUGGAAUUGGAAUGCUUGAGAAGUUUAACUUUAAUUGGAAUGUUUGGAAUUGUAACUUUAAUUUUCUUAGGUUGUGAAUGCUUGAGAAUUGGAAUCGAUUGUGAAUUUAUAUAUGCUUGAGAAAUUGAGGUUGUAUAUUUAUUUAUUUAGGUUGUAAAUUUAUAUUUUUGUGAAUGCUUGAGAAUUUGCGGUUUUAAACCGCAAAUUCUCGGUAACCGACCGCAUUUUUGCGAUUUACCGCAAUGCGGUAAACCGCAAAACGCGGUCGGUUUGCGGUUUCAAAAAUCACCAAACCGCAAAUAGUCGGUCGGUUUGCGGUUUGAAUAAAAAUUCGCGGUUACCGAACCGCAACCACCCCUAGGAAAUGGAGAAAAGUGCAAGUAGAUAAUAUUGGAGUAGUUAGGAUUGAACUAGAUUCUUGUUUUGUUUUUUAUUUAGAAGAUGUGGUUUAUGUUCCUUCAAUGAGCAAGAAUCUCAUCUCAGUUACUAGGCUUGUAAAGUCAAAGUUCACUUUGAACUUUGAUGAUUUUGGUUGUUCUAUUUUUAGAAAUAAAAGCUUAAUUGGAAAAGCAAGUAUUGUGGAUGGUAUGUUUCGAUUAAACUGCAAAAAAACUAUGCAAAUCAACUUAGUUCAAUCCAAACCAUGCAAAGAAUUAUAUUUUAAAUUGUGGCAUAAGAGACUUAGACGUAUUUCAAAGGCAAGAAUCAAUACUUUAUGCAAAGAAUUAGUUGUACCACCAUUGAAUCAUGAUAAUGCAGAUGAUAUAUGCCUAGAAUGUACAAAGGGAAAAUUGACCAACCUAAGAAAGAACGGUGUUGUAAGAAGUCAAAGUGUAUUAGAAUUAAUCCAUACAGACAUAUGUGGACCAUUCCCAACUCCAUCAUGAAAGGUUUAACUACUUCAUCACUUCUACAGAUGACUAGUCGAGAUUUGGACAUGUUUUUUUAAUCAAAGAAAAAUCCAGUGCUUUGGACAUGUUCAAAAUUUAUAAAGCUGGAGUGGCACUACUACAAAAAAGCAAAAAGACGACGGUAAAUCACCGUCGUGUAUUCGGUUUUUCAAUGGUCGUGGAAUCCACCAUCAUCUUUUCCCUCAUAAACCACGACGCUAAAUCACCGUCGUUGUUAAAAUAUACAACGUCAUCAACAAAUACAAAACGACGUCUUUGUACUGCAAAAAGAUCUAAAAAAGCAGUCGAGGAUGAGAAUAGACGACCAACUCUCUAAAAAAACCGUCGUUAAAAAGGAAAAAUAUGACACAUAUUAAGAGAACAAGGCCGCAAGAUAGACAUACAACGACGAAAAUAAAAAUACGACGCCGUUAAAUAUCAUUUUCACGACAAUAAAAAAUUUGACAUCUUUAAAUACAUUAGAAGACGACGUUAUUGAUACCUACUACGUCGCAUAUAUAAAAACAGUCGUCGUAAAAUUAAUUUUCCACUUCGAUUUUUCGAUAAAAGAUGACGUGGAAAUAGUUGUCAGUGUCAUUAUUUACGACGUAUGUAUUUAUAGAGUAGACGUUGAAAAACGAAACAACGUCGGUUACAAAUAUAUGAGAGUCGUAUUACAAAAUUUAUACGUCAUAUUUUCAGAAACAAACAACGACGAUAAAUAUUAGACGUUGUUAAAUAAAACAACGUCGGAAAACAAUAAAAACAGACGUGUUUAGUCUGCUAAAGUUCUAGAAAAUAGUCGAGGAUGAGAAUAGACGACCAACUCAAACAAAUCACCGUCGUUAAAAAAGAAAAAUAUGACACAUGUUAAAAGAACAAGGCCGCAAGAUAUACAUACAACGACGACAACUAAAAUACUACGCCGUUAAAUAUAAUUUACACGACAAGAAAAAAUAUGACGUCUUUAAAUACAUGAGAAGACGACGUUAUUGAAAUAUACUACGUCUCUUAUUUACAAACAACCGUCGUGAAAUAAAUUUUUCACUUCGAUUUUUCUAAAAAAGAUGACGUGGAAAUAGUUGUCAGUGUCAUUAUUUACGACGUAUGUAUUUAUACAGUUGACGUUGAAAUGCGAAACAACGUCGGUGGCAUUUAUAUAGUCGACGUUGUAUUUAUAUCUAUCAUCAUUACUCACGACACACUUAAUAAUAUAGACGACGUUGAACUUCUAAACAACGUCGGUUCCAAAUAAAUGAGAGCCGUAUUACAGAACAUAUAGACGGCGUUGAUUAUGAUGAGAGCCGUAUUACAAAUAACGUCGUUUAAUUGUUAUUAGACGGCGGUUAUAAUGAAUUUCCGUCGGAAUUCAUUUCGUUCCUCUUCGUUUAUAAAAGAACUUGCGACGUGAAAAAUGUAUGAUGACGUCGUAUUUUUUAACGUUCAGAUUAUAUAUCUCGUUUUUUAGACGUCGGUAUUAUGGGAUUGGAGUCGUGUUAUUUUGAAUUACAUGGCGGUUCUUAAUCCUUCCCCGACGUGAUAUCCUGAAUAAUUGCUUCACAAUAGCGUCGUGGUUCUUCAUUGUUACGUUGCUUUAAGACGUCGGUAAAUAUGCUGAAUAACUGGUUCACAAUAACGUCGUGUUUUAUUUGAACGUAGAAAGUGAAGAAAUCACAUUACAAUAUAUUAUAAAAUUAAUGUCAUACACUGCCAAUUACAUAAGCAUCAUUCAAUCCAUAUAUCUUCACACCCAUCUCGAAUAUUUUGACCGCCUAACUCACCCACCAGUUCAUCAAAUGUGUCAACAUUUGGCAUCCCUCUAGUAAAUGGCUCACACUCAAUUAUCACAUCACCUAAGACUUCAUCACCAAUAACAUCAUUAUAUUCUCUAUUAGGCAUUGAUAACACUACUGACCAACCACGAUGCAUCGGGUCGUCAACAAAAAAUAUUUGUUUGACUUGAGAAGCCAAAACAAAUUGGUCAUUCCUAUGUCCAAUUUUACUCAAAUCUACAAGGGUAAAUCCAAGUUCGUCGACUACAAGACCAGAACUAUCUAUCCAAUCACACCUAAAGACUGGGAUUGUAAACUUUUGGUAGUCAAGGUCCCAAAUUUCUUGAAUGACACCAUAGAAACCCAUAUUUGAGAGAAUUGGGUUUUUAUCCUUGGCACUAACACAUGGACAACGGAUAUGUAUUGUAGUUAGAAGAUUUUCUACAGCAAAGUUCAAAAAUGCUUCCACCCCAAAUUCAUAUGCCUUCGAUCUUCUAUCCGAGUGCAUCCAUGACUUAUCCAUCUCCGACACUAUAACCUAUUAUCUAUAAUAAAGUGAAAAUACAGGCAAUGACCAUCACUAUAGCAGAUUAUACAAUGAUCUAAUCGCAAGUAAUACACAACAGAGACGACGGGUUUUAAACAAAAACAGACGUAUUUGGCAUAUAUAGACGACGGAUUUUCAACAGACGUCGUCUAUUAUAAGUAAUACAAACGACGGUUUAUGAAAAAACCGUCGUGUAUAAGUAAUACAACGACGGUAGUUUAAAAAAACCGUCGUGUAAUCGUCGUCGUAUGCCUUAAAAUUUGUCGUGUCUCAGUUUAUUUUCAAGAACACAAAACCCAUUAAGAACACAACAUAUAUAUGAAACCAAGCAAGAAACCAACAUAUACAUGAAACCAAGCAUGAAAACAAUAAAUCCAUUCCCAAUUCAACAUAACAUAGGGUGAUUAAAAGAUACGACAAAAUUAAAUCCAUUCCCAAUUCAACAUAACAGAUAAUGUAAUCCAUGAACCCAUUAAACAGAAAAUCCAUGAACCCAUACCUAUAAGCACAUUAUUAACAGAUCGCAAAGCAUACACAUAAAACCCUUUAACAAAACAACCUAAUAUCACUCGAAUCGUUACUAGAAUCAUCACUCGAAUCCCCAUCUUCAUUAUCAGUUUCUUCCUUCGUAGGUACUAUUUGCUCCCCAUCAUUGGUGCACUUUGCACCUUCUCCAGAGCGGAAAAUGACAAGAUCAAAUAAAGGUGUACUUUUGCUGGAAAUCAACAUAAAAAGACACAGAUCACCAACUUCCAAAUGAUUGUCACGCACAACGUCCAUCCAACUACGCCUGAAUAAGAGCCAAAUCUAAAAAAAUUUAGGUCGCGCGAAAAUUUUUAGAGCUCGCGCGUUUUAAAACGUCGAAAGAAAAACCAAGGCGAAAGUUCUACAAGUACCGACGUAAAUUUAAUAUUCCACGACGGAAACUUCAUUUUUCGGAUUAAGAACGUAAGGCCGUUCAUUUUGAAGCUUCAUUUUUCGGAUUAAUUUUAAAUUUAUUUUGAAUUUUUUAUAUAACGACGACUGAAAAACCACGUCGGUGUUAAGAAAUUAAAGACGUUGUAAAUUAUAUAAACCGACUUACAUAUUAAAAUGACGUCGUUUAAAGCGUAAACCAUGUCGUAUGUUUUUCUGUACGACGUAAAAUAUGUAUUCCACGACGCAACCACCGUCGUUAAAAAUUAAUACCCUAAACCCAUAAAACUAAAUUAUACAAUUUAAAAAAUUAAGUUUAUAAAAGGUUUUAUGGUUUUAAAGCCUAACAUAUACCCUAGACUACCCAAAAAUUAUACUUUAAAAAUAAACCCCAAUAAAUAACAACCCUAAUCUCUAAACCCUAGACUCUAAACCCUAAACCAUAAAACUAGAAGUGAUUUUAUGACUCAUAAAAACAAUUUUGUUUUGGAUGGUCAUUUUAAAUUUUUGUUAUUCAAAAUGAAUUUUUUCAAGGUUUAUGUGGAAGAAAAUAUAUCAAUGACUUCAUAGGAGUUGACUUUUCAAUUUUCUGAUUUAUUUUAAAUUUAUUUUGAAUAUUUUGAUAUAAAAAUAAUAAAAUAUUCUUACCACAACAAUAAACCACGUCGGUGUUAAUAAAUUGUAGACGUUGUAAAUUGUAAUAGACUACUAAGUCGUUAAAAUGACGUCGUUAAAAUGAGAAACCAUGGCGGCUAUUUAACUAUACGACGUAAAAUAUAUAUUCCACGACUUAACCGCUGUCGUUACAUAAACGUCGUCGAUGAUACCCUGAACCCUUAAGAAAUUGAAGAUGUUGUAAACCAUAAACGACUCAAUUGUUCAAAGAACGUCGUCUAACUAUAUUUUUACGUCGUAUUUGUUUAAAACACGAAACAACAAAAUACGACGGUUUUUGACUUUAUUAGGUCGUUGGAAAAGUAUUACACGUCGGUUAAGCAAUUUGUAUGUUUGUUUUUUUUUUAAUUUAAGAAAACCUCAACAAAUUUUUACAUUACAUAUUAUAGAGAAAAUUUGUACAUUAUACAUAAAUAUCAAGUGUUCAAUAAUUGCCCUGUUUAAUAAUUUGGAAAACAAACUCUGCCCAUUCAUUCCGGACUUCAUCAAUGGCUUCUUGGGGGUAUGAAGCUUCCUGGUUUCCCUUGGCAUACUGCAUAAACAAUGACUAUUAGGGUUUAUAAAUAAAAAGAAAUUCAAUCACAGACGACGAUAUUUUUCAUAACCGACGUAGUAUAUCCAUUCAACGACGUUAAUUUUACAUGACCGUCGUUGAUAAUACAAAAAACGACGUGAAAUGUAUGAAGGUAAUUUCUUCUUACCUUAUUCUCAAACCCCAAGGAAGGAUCCAUGAUGAUGUCCCUCAUGAAGCGCAUCACAUAAUACCCGCAUUCGACAUUGCUGGGUUGCUUUGGUGUGCCUGAGAGAGUUUUCCAAAUUACAUUUUUACGUCCUGCUCGGCCUAUGUGGGUAUUAUAUAUUUUUAAAGCACUGUUCACGAUGUUUUUCGCCUCUUCGUCGACCACACGAUGACCUGGCAGAGGAUCCAGAAAAUAGACGGUCUCCUUCUUUGCUCUUACAAUCAGCAAGAUCCAAUGACGGCUGCACAAAAUUAAUAUAAAAACGACGGUUAUUUACAAAAACGACGUAUUAUAGUAUUUCACACGACGAAAUAAAGUAGAUAACGACGACAUUAUAUAUUUAUCACGACGAUAAAUAAAUACCGACGUGGUUAGUAGUUUCAAACGACUAAAUAAAAUAAAACACCGACGUGGUUAGUUUAUAAGCUGUCAUUUAUUGAAAAUCAUAAAAACAAAAUCCUAAGGAGACUAACCCUGGAUUGUAAGGCAUCAUGAAAAUCUGUUCACCGUCUGUCUUCUGAAGUCGAGCUGCUACCAGUCGUGAUCUUUCAGUUAUUGUGCCAGAGUUGGCACUAACUGUAGCAGGGUCGAUAAAGCUAACCAUGCUGCACAUAUUGGCUUGUUUCAAAACAUCGUGUAAGUACCUAAAUACAUAAAAUAAUAUAAACAAGUCAGCACAAACAAACACGACGGUUAUGUAUAAAAAAACGACGUAUUAUAAUAUUUCACACGACGUACUGAAAUAGAUGAGGACGUUAUAAUAUAUUUAUCACGACGGUAGUUAGUUAAGACGACGUGGUUAGUUAGUUAAGACGACGCAAUAUAUAAACCAACGAGGUAUUAUUUUAGAAGUACAAACCUCAUAUAUACAGCCAAUACAGUAGCUCCAAUUUCUUCCAUGCCUGCAAAUUGUGUAAUAUCUUCAGGCAGGAGGAAGGUAUCGUGCUCACCACCAAACACCUCCUUAUCAAUUGUAAAUUGGAGUGUCUUAUCCUCAGGCAGGAGUGUCGUUUCCACAAAAUGACAAAGGGUUUUUAAAGAAGAUGGCGCCUCCAUAUUUGAAUAAGCACCAACUUCAAUAACCUGUUUAAAGAAAUAAAAAAAAUGACGUGGUAAUUCAAUAAAGACGACGGUUUAAGGAAUAAAACGUCGUCUUAAAAGUAUUUAAACGACGGUGAAAAAACUGUCGUGGUAAUUCAAUAAAGACGACGGUUUUAUGAAUAAAGCGUCGUCUGAAACCAUUUAAACGACGGUGCAAAAACCGUCGUUUAAAUAUUUUAUUACGUCUUAAAAAAAGUCCGCCGUCUAAGUUUUAAACAAACGACGGAUUAAAUAAAAAUAUCGACGUCUGAAAUUUUGAAAAACAAAUAAAAAAAGGCAAAGUUAUGUGAACAUACCUUGUCGUCAUGCUUUUCUUCAUCUUCUUUCUCCUUUUCUUAUUCCUUCUCUUCAUCUCUUUUUUCUUCUUCCUUCUCUUCAUCUGGCUGAUGUUUCCCCAUUUUGGCAGUAUCAUCCUCCAAAUGUAGGGAUCUCACAUCACCUCCAGAGCAGCUAGCUUUGUCAGACAUUGGAUUUUUGGGGCUUUGGCUAAUUCUUGGUUUAAGCAUGCUUGGAUCAAAAUUGGGAAUUAAUUGGGAAAGCUGACUCAGGAAAUGCUCCCUCUCAGCCUCUACCAAUUGUUUUGUCCUAGCCUCCAUCCUUAAGGCUUCUUCCCUUGCCUUAGCCUCCAUCUUUUUAGUCUCUUCUUGAAGGAGAACUCUUAAACUGUCCUUCAAACGGUCGUCAAAGCUCACCCUCUGUGGUUUGGGCAAAUUGAAAUAUUGCCUUGGGGAAACACCAGCACCAACUCUCCUCACUCUGCCUGGAUGCUCGGGGCCCAAAGCCAUGGUCAGCACAUCAUUGCUGCCAUCUACUCUGACUUUGCCUUCCGAGACUUGUUUCUGCAAUUCAUCCUAAAACAAAGAUAAACAAAAAAACACACGACGGUUAUUUAUUUACAAACGACGUAUUAUAUAAUUUCACACGACGCAAUAACGUAUAAACCGACGUUAUUAUAACUUAUCACGACGGUAGUUAUACCGACGUGGUUAUUUAUUUAAAACGACGAAAUGAAUAAACAACCGACGUCUUAUGCUAUAAUUAAAGAAAACAGAGUAGUGAUUCCUAUUUAGACCGUUAACGACGUUUUUAAAAAAGUUUCGACGUGGUAAUAUCAUUCAAACGACGCGAAAAUGAACCACCGACGUCUUAUGCUAUAAUUACAGAAAAUUAGUAGUGAUUCCUAUUUAGACCUUUAACGACGUUUUUAAAAACUUUUCGACGUGGUAAUAUCAUUCACACGACGAAAAAUAUAACAUACGACGUAAUAAGAAUAAUUCACAGUUUAAUAAAAAUUUAAAACAGAGUGAUAGUAGGCUUACAAUUAAUUUUGCUUUCUCUGCCACCUUUGGAUCAGGGAUGUUACCAUGUUUGUCCUGUCUAGCUCUCUUCCAUAAGGUAGAUCGAUCAAUUUCUACCCCAGGCAUGGUUUCCUCCAAUUGAUCCUCCAAUCCAGCAUAUCCUUUUCGAGACAAUCGAUGAUUGUACUCGAGUUUCUUCCUAAUCUGUGCAUGUUGAGAAUGCACAGACUCAAAAUCUUUGGAUAGCCUUGAAGCUACAAAGGCAUCCCAUUGUGCUUUCUCUAUGAAUUUAUAUGUUUCAGGGGGUUGGCUUAAUUUCUCCCUGUCAUUGGUGUAUGGAAGGAUAUAAUGCCUCGUUAGUGUAGACUUGAAAUCCUUCCAUUUCUGGAAGCAGAAGCUAAAACAGAGGUCUUGCCCCCUUGGCCUACGACAAAAGCCAUGUCAACUGCUUCCCAAAUCUGCUCCUUUAUAUCCUUGGGGAUUUGGGACCAUUUCUUGUCCACAAGUGGGAUCCUGGAGCGUGCCAACACACCAAUAUACGACUGCAUCUCAAUAUGUGCUUGGCCAACACCUUUCCCCCUUUUAUUGUACUCAACAAUUGGCCUCAGUUUCUGAAGCUUUCUCUUCACAACACGAGGCAUUGUGCUCAUACCUCGACCAGUCUUUGAAUCAUCAGAGAUUGUUGUCUGGCUGGUUGGUUCUGUCUCAGCAGAUGAUGAAGCAAACUUCAUCUUCUUCGAAGACUUCAUCUCCUUCGAAGACUUGUCUUGAGGAGCUACCAUUCCAAGCUUCUUGGAGCCAGAAUCCUUAGUUUGUUGUUGAGAAACCAUUUUAACAGACAAAACUGCAAGUGAAAAUAUUUCAGGAAAACAUUAAGAACACAAACGACGGUAUUAAAAAAAUACGACGUAUGAUAUGAUUUUAGACGACGCAAUGAAAUAAUCUCAGACGUAAUAAAUGUUUAAAACCAUUAUUUAUAUAACGUCGUGGUAUAUAUGUUCACACGACGUCAAUAGUAAUACACCGUCGUGGUAAACUAUUAUUUAUAUAACGUCGUGGUAUUUAUGUUCAUACGACGUUAAUAGUAAUACACCGUCGUGGUAUUAACAUUCACACGACGUAAAACAAUAAGAUAUUUUGUCGUCUAUAUUAGAUACCAACCCUAGUUUCUUUUUCUUUAUAUUUUAUCAAAUAAGGGAAAAACAAAAACCAUUGUUCAGAGAAAUCAAACCUGCAAUUAAACAAGCAUAUAAAAAAAGACUAUUAUUUUAAAAACAACUUUGUCAAUUUUCAGACGACGCUAGAACAACUGACGAACCGUCGUGGUCUACCGUCGUCUUAUUUAGUUGAGGUAGUUGUCUUCAAAGUUGGAAACUUUCCCUCUUUGUCUGUAUAUUUUAUCAAAUUUGGAAAGAAGUACAAUGAUUUUGGCCAGAAAAAAGGUAAAAAGAUUUUUCAAACAAAAAACGUAUGAGCAUGCAAAACAGUAACCAAAAUAGUGAAAAUGAAAGCUUACCUUUUGCGUGCAAUGAAAGCAAGAGGAAGAUGAUCGAUGUUUAAGUUCAAGGACGACGAAGAAGACGAGAGGAAGACGAUGAGAAACUCUGACAAUGCUCUGACAAGGAAAAAAGACGAAAAGGUUUCUCUGGAGAUUGAAAUUUUUAAUCGGGUUUGGAAACAGUGCAUGUGUAAGUUCAAAAGUUGCUUACAUAUAAAACCAUUUCAAAAAAAUAAUACGGCGGUUACAUUUAACUACGUCGUUUUUAACUAACACGACGAAAUAUUUUUCGUUCGACGUGGAAUCAUUUCAUUUAACGUCGUUAGGUUUAAUAUAACCGACGUGGAUUUUAAUUUUUAAAUUAUGAAUAUAAUUUUUUUUCCCGUGACCUUUCAGUUUAUUUUUCAAUUACAGUGCGUUAUAAAUAGAGUUCUUUUUCCAGAGGAAAUUUAAAACGAAGGAAAUUAAUAUUCUGCAAUAUGUAAAGUUUCUUUUUUGGAUGACAGAUUUAAAUAAAAUAAGAAUAUAAAAAUAACUAAUGUGUAAGUCAAGUAGACGAAAAGUUGCUUACAUAUAAAAUCAUUUCAAAAAAAUAAUACGGCGGGUACAUAUAACUACGACGUAUAAAGUACAAAAUACGACGGUAAAUUUAACUUCGGACGUGGUAAAUAAAUACGACAGUAGUGUUGUAGGUACCGUCGUAGUAAACUCAAAAAUUAAAGUACAUAAGUAAUAACUCGCGUCAUGGUAGAUUAUUUAAGACGUCGUGAUUAUUAAUGUACCGACGUGGAGUUCUGUAAUAUACGUCAGUAAUACCGACGUUGAUUUUACAAUUUAAACGGCGGUUUUUUGGUAAGGACCGCCGUUGGUUUUAAAAAUUUAUUCUAUAAAUUUGUCGCUUUCAUUCAUUUUCGCGGUUUACAUUUAGGGUUCCAAGUUCUUCCUCUCUCAGAGACACUGUCUCUCACAUCUCAAAGACAAUAAUUUGGAGGUCUUUCUCAAAGAGAAAUUGAGCUUACAUUUAGGCUAGUUGACAAGAAGAAGCUUGUCAACUAGCCUUCUCACUUCCUUGAUCAAGCCUGAUAGGACACUUAGUGCUUCUGAAUACUCCUUGCUUUCCAUCAAAAGAGAUGCAAGCCUGGCCUCCACUCGUUGUCGAAGGAAAGUUCGCUUCUCAGGGAAAUCUGAAAAUCAGAUGUGCUUGAUCCUCUGCUUGAUUUUUUUGACUAAGAAGAUCCGUCAGAUUUAAGCAUGAGCAAUCGAAUCCGUAGAGCUUCAGAAGAAGAAGAAGACAUUGUCAAUGCUUUGAACUAUACAAGUCUGCAGAAAGAUAAAGGACCAAACUGUUAAAGAAACUGAAACAACGGCGGUUUUCUGUUCUACCGUCGUCUUUUCUCGUCGUCUAUAUUAAGGUAAGAUGGCGGUAGAUUUAUAAUUACCGACGUAGAUUAUUUUGUUAAACGUCGUUAAGUGUACUACAACCGACGUGGAUUUUAUUUUUAAAUUAUAAAUAGAGUUUUUUUUCCAGACUUCUUUCAGUUUUAGUUUUCAAUUACAAAGCGUGAUAAAUAGAUUUUUCUUUCCCGAGGAAAUUUAAAAUGAGGGAAAUUAAUGUUCUAGAAUUUGUAAACUAACACGACGCAAUAUUACUAACCCGAGGAAAUUAUAAAUAGAUUUUGCUUUCCUGAAGAAAUUUUAAAUUAAUUCAGUUUGAAACAAAACGACGGUUUUUUGUUAUGCCGUCGUUUUUAACUAACACGACAGAUUUAAAUAAAAUAAGAAUAUAAAAACAACGACUGUUUUUUUACUACUGUCGUCGUUUUUCGUCGUCUUAAGUAAGACUAAGACGACGUAAUAUAUUUGUUGAGCGACGUUGAUUUGUUUUUAAACGUCGUUAGGUAUAAUAUAACCGUCGUUGAAAAUUGUCUCUCUGAUUGCAAAUUUGCAACGACGUUGAUCAACUUCCAAAAAAUUGUCUCUCUGAUUGCAAAUCUGUGUCAUCUGUUAAGAUUAUUUUGUAUUUUAAAGCCGUGGAUUUGUUUGUAAUUAUACGGCGUCUUAUACGAAAACCUCGUCGUGUUAUUUUAUGAGUAAAAACGGCGGCUUUUAUUGAAAUCGUCGUCUUUACUUUCUACGUCGGUCUAUUCAUAACUUCUGCCGUUCUUUGUUUGCUUUGAUUUUACAUUGCGGAAAUCUGUUUCAAAUAGACGUCGGUUGUUUAAUUAGGUACGUCGUUGUUUUUGAACAGCCAUUUGAAUCUCCAUUUUUUAGUUGUCUAAGGUGGUAUUACACGACGGUGUUUUUAGAACCGUCGUCUUUUUAAAAACCACGACGGUUUUCACUUAGACCGUCAUUGUUUUCUGGUCGUCUUUUUCACUUUUUGUAGUAGUGUGGAAAACCAACUAGACCUAAAGAUAAAAGUUGUAAGGCCUGACAGAGGAGGAGAGUUCUAUGGGAGAUUCGAUGAGCUUGGAGGAAUCUUGGUCCUUUUGCAAGGUUUCUAUAGCAAGAAGGAAUCAUUGCUCAAUACACUAAUCCAUAGACUCCACAGCAAAAUCGAAUUGCAUAGAGGAGAAACAGAACUCUAAAGGAUAUGAUAAGAAGCAUGAUGUGAUGCACAAACUUACCAAUUUUUCUGUGGGGAGAAGCUUUGAACACAUCAAAUCACAUACUCAAUCGAGUACCAAACAAGGGUAUCAACAAUAUCCCUUAUGAAGUUUGGAAUAAGAAAAAAUUACGCUUGAAACAUUUGAAAACAUAGGGCUGCAAGAUAGAGGCAAAGCUUUAUAACCCUAUGGAAAAGAAGCUGGAUUCGAGAACUGUAAGUGGUUAUUUCAUAGGAUAUCUAGAUAGAACUAAAGGAUACAGAUUCUAUUGUCCUAAAAACACUACCAGAUUUGUAGAAACUCAGAGGGCAAUGUUUAUAGAAUCUGAAGGUGAGACAAUCGAAGAUGAAAAUUUUGAGUUUGAUGAAGAUAUUGCAGAAACUGGGGAAACAAUACAAACUGACAUUUUGGUGUUACUAAGUUUUGACUUGAAUGGCAAACAAAACAACCAAGAAGGGCAAACUGGUACAGACCCUAUGGUCACUGAAGAAGAAACUCAAGAAAAUCAAGUUUUACUACCCGAAAAUCAAGAUGUAGUUCAAACACAAGAAGGAACUAAUAAUCAGACAAAUGCAGGACUAAGAAGGUCAGAAAGACCAAAGAAACGUGCUUUACAUAAUGAUUAUGUUUACCUUCAAGACUCAGAGCAUAAUGUGAAUGACAUUGAGGAUCCUAUGAACUUCAAGCAAGCAAUGAUGAGUAACAAAAAUGAAAAUUGGUGGGCUGUUUUGAAAUCAUAAUUAGGUUCCAUGGAAAAUAAUGGAGUUUGGGAGCUUGUGCCUUUACCAUAAGGGAGCAAACCAAUUGGCUACAAGUGAGUGUUCAAAACCAAGAGAAAUUCGAAGGGGUGGAUAAAUAGAUAUAAGGCUAGAUUGGUUACUAAGGGGUUCACACAGAAAGAAUGAAUUAAUUUCAAUGAGACCUAUUCACUUGUCAUAACAAAAGACUCCUUGCAAGUGAUCAUGGCACUAGUAGCUCAUUUUGAUUUACACUUGCCUCAAAUAGAUGUUAAGACUACAUUCUUGAAUGGAAACUUGGAGGAAGAAAUUUAUAUGCAACAACCAGAAGGUUUCAUUCAAGAGAAUGGAGAAAAUCUGGUUUGCAAGUUGUGUAAAUCAAUCUAUAGUCUAAAACAAGCAUCUAGAGAGUGGUAUAAGAUUCAAUGAAGUUGUUAAACUAUAUGGUUUUACAGAGAAUGUCUUAGAUAAGUGCAUUUACAUGAAGAUGAGUAGGAGUCACUUCAUAAUUCUGAUUCUUUAUGUAGAUGACAUUCUGCUAGCUUGCACCAACAUGUCCAUGUUACACGAUUGCAAGGCAUUCCUGGCUAAACAUUUCGACAAUGACAGAUUUGGGAGAAGCCUCAUACAUUUUAGGAAUCGAAAUUAGCAGAAAUAGAAAGAGAGGUUUGUUGGGACUAUCAUAGAAAACUUAUAUAGAAAAGAUACUCAAAAGGUUUAACAUGCAAGGCUGUGCAAGGUCAGAUGUGCCUAUUUCGAAGGGAGAUAAAUUUAGUACUAAUCAAGCACCAAAGACUGAUCAAGGAAAGCUUGAGAUGGCAGAUAAACCUUAUGCAUCAUUAGUGGGGAGUCUCAUGUGUGCACAAGUAUGCACAAGACCUGAUAUUACUUUUAUAGUAAGUGUAUUGGGAAGAUUUUAGUCAAAUCCUGGACAAGCAUAUUGGAUUGCUGGUAAAAGAGUCAUGAGAUAUUUGCAGAGAACAAAAGACUAUAAGUUGGUUUACAAAAGAAGUGACAGACUGGAAGUAGAAGGUUAUGCUGAUGCAGAUUUUGCAAGUUGCAAAGAUGACUUGAAAUCUACAUUAGGAUAUGUUUUCCUAUUUGAGCAGCAAUAUCAUGGAGAAGUAACAAGCAACCACUCACAAUUGCAUUGACUAUAUUGGCAGAAUUUCUGGCUUGUUAUGAAGUAACCACUCAAGCUAUGUGAUUAAAGAACUUUAUCACUAGUUUGGGUGUGGUUGAAUCAAUUCAACAACCUAUACAUCUUUGGAAUAAUAACAGUGCAAGAGUACUUUUUGCAAAAGGGAAUAAAAGAACAAAGGCAUCAAGAAUUCUGGAAGUUAAAUUCUUUGCUGUCAAAGAAAAGACUAGAGAUGGGCAUACUGUGUUGGAGCACAUUGGCACAAAUGAAAUGGUUGCAGAUCCACUUACUAAGGGGUUACCAAAUGUUGUUUUUCACAGACAUGUGAUUAGCUUGGGAUUGACAGUUCAUUUGGAUGACUAAAACAAUGGGAGUUUUAUCAAGUUCUGGUAGUUUAACUAGUUUUGCUAUUUUCUAUUUAAAUUCAUAGAGUGGUGUUUUAAUUUGGAUGAUUUUCAGUUUAAGGAUUCGAAUAUAGUAUAUUUAUGCAAUGUAGUUUAUAUGCACAUGUGAUUACUUGAAUAUGUGUGGGUGGCAUAGCAUGCAUUUAAGCUAGCCAUGAGAAGAUUGUAUUCAUGACAGUUUGUAAUUUUUGUUAUGCAAAUUGAGACCUUGUUAGUCAUUUAUAGGGACAAAGGAAUUAGAUGACUUUUGUUUAAAGCACUUUCAGUAAGGUCAUCUACAUUCUAAAGUUUUAAUCUUGAUCGAAGCCUUAUGUGGUGUUGAAGAGUUUUAAGUGUGAAUAUAAAGACUUUGAUAACUGUAUGAUCAAUAAGUCUCUUAUAAUUUUUCUUCAUUAACAACUUAGUGGGAAUUUUAUCUGGAUAUACUUUCACAAGGCCUUAAAGUGAUCAAUACGAGUUUUCCUUAGCGAUUAUUUAACCAAGUGGGAGACUGUAAGACAAAUCCGUGUCUUAGUCUAAAUUGUGGUCUUCUAAUCAUAUCUGGUUUGGAGGAGCUCUAAUUGAUCAGGAAGUAUUAAUCCUAAUACAAGUAGGAUACUCAAUCAAACAGUGCGUUUACAUUGAGAUAGGAGUAUCUUAAGGAUUCCUAAUUCUAUAUGGAUUAAAACAUCCAAUUCCUAAGUAAACAAAAUCUGUUUGAGUACUCCUUGAUGGGUAAGGUACCGGAACAGAUGCUUAUAAAUAAGGUCCCUUUUGUAUCGGCUAAAAUACACUCAUAACAGAAAACUCACCCCAUCCAGAGAUAGAGAUAAAGAGCCGAGUUGGAGAAGAAGAUUCUUAUUCACAAUGUCUGAUCAAGGUUAGUAUUUGAGAUUCAAAGACAUGAUAACUUAUAGUAUAUAUGGGUUGUUAAGAUUUUAUCCAGAGAUUCAAAGAAAGCUUUUUUCUUUUUAUUAAACCCUUUUCAUCUUUUUCAAUGGUGCACAGUGCAAUAUCCGAGUGGGGAAAUUGGGAAAUUAAAGGAUGAAAAAUAAUAAUUGGGGCAUGCCAAAUUGGCAAAUGCGUAAAGGAGAUGAAGCCUAUCAAAAACAUCAUUUGUUGGCAAUGGAAACUGCAGGAUGAUUGGAAGUUAAGCCAUCUAAAAUCUCCAUCAGUAUCUCUCACUCACUCAUCUUUUGGGACAGAUUCCAGCUUUCUUCCACCACCCACUACAACCUCUCUGUCUACCCCACACCCAAGCAAGAUUCCAAUUAAUCAUCUUCGCUCUCUGAUAAAAGAUUCCUGCUGUUAAUUUAUUCGCACCAGAAAUUAGGGAUGGCCCAUUCACAAUCAAACAAACACAAGAUAACUUUGCUGGACCGCUCAUUUUCUUUAAUUCUACUAAGGCAAUUACAUUAUUGUGACAACGAUUGUCUUAAUCUCAAAUAUCUUCAAGUACAGAAAUGAUAAGUAUUUAGUCUGGAUCAUAAGAAUAUAGUGGUAAAUACAAUUAGUUUCUACCUCAACCUUUUUGAGGCAUUUCGACGAACUGUUUAAGGAAAAUAUCAAUAGAUAACUGAAUUGAUGAGCCAGAUUAAGAACAUAGAUGUCCGAGUGCAGAAUAUAGUAAUUUAUAAACAAAUGAAAAUAGUAUUUUUCCAGUAAUAAUUUUUGAAAAGAACUAAUGAUAGAGACCAAUUGUUUAAAUUAAACAACACUUUGUUUUCUUGUAAUACUUUCAAUUAGUUGGAUGAUUGGUGUGGUCUUCGUGGACUCAGUUGUUAGUUGGAUAAUUAGUUAAACGACUAUAAUUAGAUGUUUUAAAUAGCUUUCAAUUGUCUAAUAUUUCAUAAAAAUCAACUGUAAAUUACGACUCAGAUGGUUGAAAUACAAUUUACUUCAAAAUAACAAAUUAUUCAACGUGUUGAGAAUGUUGUAUAUGGAGUCUACAUAGACUUGACUAGUUGGGUGUUAGGCAAUUAUGAAUUGAAAAUAUUUGUCAUCAGUAAAUGCUUGGAAAUUAAUGCCAUGUUUGGUAUGUCUCAUUAUGUCUUAUUGGACUGGACUGUGUUGUAUAGUACUUGAAAUCCAUAUUUGAUAAUGGAGGGGAUUAACUUAAAUGGGAUUAUAUAGUUCAUCAGUGUAAAAAAGCUCCGGACUCACUUGUCUAAUAUAGCAAUGCUGAAAUGUGGUUCGUAAAUUAGCGAGAACGCUAUUUUGAGCAUGCAGUCCAACCCUUGGCUUGAAUUACAACUUUUUUUUUAAUGAAAUAGGAAGGAAAAAAAAAACACGAUAACAAAAAGAAAAGAGAGAGAGAGAGAGAGAGAGAGAGAGAGAGAGAGAGAGAGAAAUGCUAGGAAAAAAAAUAAAAACAGAAAAAGAGAGAGAAAUUAAUAAAAUAAUUAUUUUUUAGUCCGACACAGAAUCAAACAUAGGUCUUCACUAUUUUUACAAUUCAACUAUUUAAUCCGACGUAACACCAAAAGUAGCUCAAUAUUUAAUCCAGCUUACGCCAAACGAACCCUAAGCCCGAUAACCCCAGUUGACAUCGUCCCUGUCUCCAAUUAGCCUAUAUAAGGCCAAGGGUAUGCUUACAUUACAGCAGCAACUCAAUAAUCUAGAGGUAAUCUUGUUAAUUAUUCAUGGAAACUCCCAUUAUUUUUAGCUCCUCCUUCCUUAGGUUUUUCAUGGGUUUCUUCUCUGUACUUCUAUGCCUAAUUCUCUGCUCUUUCGAGAACGGAUUUGCUUCGGCAGCAAGAGAUACAAAACCCCACCUUCUGCCACAUACCACUCACACAGUUGAAGUAAACUCUCUUCUACCAGCAACCACCUGCAGCCCCUCCACCAAAGGUUAAUUCAUCCCAUAUUAUAUAUAUAUAUAUAUAUAAAACUUAAUUUCAAUGCAUUUAUGUAUCUCUAACACACACUCUCUCUCUCUAUGCAUACAUGUUUCGAUGAUCUCAGGUCAUAACAAUAACAAGGCAUCAUCGGUAUUGAAAGUGGUGCACAAACAUGGGCCAUGCUCCAAAUUCCACAAAUCAUCAAAAACUUCAACCACAACUAGUGAUGAAAAAUACCAUGCUCAAAUCCUCAAGCAAGACCAAGCCCGAGUCAACUCCAUCCACUCCCGCCUCAACCACAACAACAACAGCAGAAUCAAAGACCCACUCACCCAAUCCGCUGCUACCACCCUCCCCGCCAAGUCCGGUAUUGUUAUCGGCUCACCGAACUACAUUGUCACCGUCGGCCUCGGUACACCCGCCAAGCAACUCUCCCUCGUCUUCGACACUGGCAGCGACCUCACCUGGACCCAAUGCAAGGCAUGUUCUGCUACUCAGUCUUGUUACAAUCAGACUGAGCCCAUCUUCGACCCUUCUCUCUCCGCCUCAUACAAAAAUAUCUCAUGUACCACCGCCGCGUGUACUCAGCUCUCAUCCUCCGGCAUCGAACACCGCUGCUCCGCCUCCACCUCCGCCUGCCUCUACGCCGCCGGGUACGGAGACAUGUCCUUCACUAUCGGGGUCUUUGGCAGCGAAAAGCUUACAUUGACCCCCACGGACGUUUUUGAAGGUUUCCUCUUCGGCUGCGGCCUAGAUAACGAAGGCCUUUUCAGCGGAUCCGCCGGUUUGCUCGGUCUCGGCCGGAGCAGCACCUCCCUCGUCGAACAAACCGCCAAUAAAUACAACCGGUUCUUCUCCUACUGCCUCCCGUCUACUUCCAGCUCCACCGGUCACCUCACCUUCGGAGACGGAGGCUCCGCUAACGGCGUUAAGUUCACGAAGCUCAUCACGUCAUCCCAAAGCGAGUCGUUUUACGGCCUCGGCCUCGCCGGCAUCAAAGUCGGUGGGAGCCAGCUGUCGAUUGAGCCCUCAGUCUUUUCGUCUUCUGGAACGAUCAUCGACUCGGGGACUGUGAUCACGCGGUUGCCGGCGACGGCAUACGCGGCGUUGCGGGGCGCGUUUCGGGAGGCGAUGAAGAACUACACGCUGACUGAGUCGUUUUUGUUGCUGGACACGUGUUACGAUUUCAGCGGCUUGAACACGGUGACGUAUCCGAAGAUAGCGUUUAUGUUUGGGGAUGGACUUACGGUGGACUCGGACGCGACCGGGAUAUUGCUUCUGAUAAGUCCUUCGCAGGUUUGCUUGGCGUUUGCCGGAAACGAGGAUGAUAGUGACUUUGGGAUUAUUGGGAAUGUUCAACAGAAGAGGUUGGAGGUUGUGUAUGACGUCGCUGGAGGAAAAGUCGGAUUUGCCCCUGAAGGUUGCCCUUGAGUAAGGGAAAUACCCAUGUAGUUCUUAUUUUCUAGAUACUGGCCCCUGGCACAUGCAUGAUCUUGUGUCAAUUGGUUUUCUUUUAAAUAUAUAUUGUUUUUAGAAUUAAGAAAAGGUAAUAUAAAUAGUUAUGUUCUAUAAAAGUAGAAUCUAUUAUCUGAUUUUAUUUUAAUAUGAAUUUAUCAUAUUAUCCUUAUUUAAUUAAUAAUUUCAAUUUUUAAUGUUUGUAUUAAUUAAGGGCAUUUUUUGGUAUUUUAAAUAAUUUACCAUUCUCUGCAUUGCUUUAUAUAUAUAGAUAAUUUAACUAUUUCUAAAUAUUUAAGAUAAACCCAAAUUCGAAAUUUGCUGUCAUUUAAGAUAAUAUUUGUCCUAGUAUUAUCAAUUAAAUUACAAUAUGUGCCAUUAACCUUCGUUUGUUUGCAACUGUACAUUGAUUCUUUUCCUAAUAAACACUGUAUAGUCUCUUGGAUGCAUGAUCCCUUCCUUGCCGUAAAUUUGUAUUGAUUUCAUAAAAAGUAAUAAUCAAAAUAAUUGAUGUACUGAUUGGAAUUUGUUUUUAUUAUAUAUAAAUGGCACGUAUAUUAUUUUUACAAUGUGCCUACAAUGGUGCUCAUUUUUAAAUAAAAAUAAUUUACCUGUAUGACAUGUACUUAUAUUGUACCUUAUUAUCUUUUAUUGAUAAUAGGAACAUUAUGUAUUUUAAAAAGAGGUACGUUAUCUUAUAUUGAUAAUGUCAAUUUAUCUAUUAUCUCUUAUUGAUAAUAAUUUGGGAGAUUUUGGAAAAGCCCAAAGGAGAGAGAAAAUUUUUAAAAGAAGCCGAAAUGGACAAAAUUGCCCUUAUUUAUUUUUUGAUUUCUUAAGGAAUCUUUUACAUUUGCAUGUCUUUGGUUUGAAAGUUGAGAGGUUUUUCUGUCUUUUUUGAAAAAGCUUUGGCUUUUUUCAAAAGUGAAAAUUUUUUUAUGGGUAAAACCUAAAUUUACUUAAUAAAUAAUUUACCUAUUAUCUUGUACUAGCCUCUUUGCGUGCGCUUCUGCGCUUGCGAGAGGAUUUUUUUUAAAAAAAAUUUAUUUUAGAAUUAAAAAAGAUAAUUGGUAGUUGUGUUUCAUAAAAAUAGGAUCCAUUAUUUGAAUUUUCUUUUAAUUUUAUUUUUUUAAUAUGAAAAAGUGUGAAUUUACUAUAAUAUCCUCAUUUAAUUAAUAAUUUCAAUUCUUAAUAUUUGCAUUAACCAAUGGCAUUUUUUGGCAUUUUGAAUGUUUUAACAUUCUCUGCCUUUUGCUUUAUAUAUAUAGAUGAUAAUAGGUAAAUUAUUUUUAUAAAAUAUUUGGUACAUUAUUUUCAAAAAUGCGUUAAAUGAGUUGGGUAUAUUAUUUAAAUCAUAAGUAAAUCAUAAUAAAAAAAUGAUGCAUAAAGAGUAUUGAAUUGCAGUUACCAAAAAAACAAGUACUGAAUUGCAGGCUAAUUCCAGGUACUAAGACUUAAUACACCUACCAUAUAACAGGUUAAUUUGUAAAUAGGGGUAGUUUUGGAAUCUGAAAAAUAUAAUAAAUCAUAUUUUAAGUUAGAUUAGGUAACUUGCUUAGUUGGAUCUUAGUCAUAAGGUUUUAUUUGAAAAAAUUGGAUAUUUUAAAUAGAAAAAUAAAGAGAAGAACUACAGGUGAUUAAAAAUGAAUUUUAUGAGUCUAAGCUUAAUUUACUAUUCUUUUUUUAAUAUAACAUUUGUGUUUUAAAAAGCAAAAGGAAGACAAUAUGGUUUUUAUUUUUGUAUUGAAGUGAUAUUAUAAACUGAACCUAGAACUUUAGAUAUGGAAUAAAUAUUCUUAACAACUCGAAAAACAGCAGUUUGAAGAAAGAUUAGUGAACAUUCCAAAGUUUGGUGUACGGAUAUAGUUAAACUGAUUGUUUGAUCAGUUUAACUAUGGACUCUGUUGACUCAUUGACUUUGGGACCCAUGAGUAGUCGUGAGUCGUGACUAGGAAGGAACAGAAACGCAUGCAUGAUGCAUGCAGUACCUUCCUUCCAGACUCCGAGUCCACUUGGUAUUAAUUACACUAUUGACAUAUUGUAUGCAUAAUGUAUGUAUGUGUAUUGACAGAGAACCUUCUUACCUUCAUUUUCAUUUUUUGUCUUUUCCUUGAAAGAUAAUUAACAUAAGAGAACGGGUGGACAAAGUCGAUCGACCAAAAAAUGACAACAAAAAAAUUGUAACGGGUUAGGGCGGGGUUUGAGAACGAUGGUAUGGAGCAAAUGCUAGAAAAUUAAACCCUCCAAAUAGUUUAUAUAAGGCCAAUAGUAUGCUUAAACUUAAAUCUACAGCUAGCUAGGCUUGUUAACUAUAUUCAUUUCUAGCUCCUCCUCUUUCCUCAGGUUUUUUCAUGGGUUUCUUCUCUGUGUUUCUGUUCCUAAUUCUCUGCUCUUUCGAAAAGGCCAUUAUUGCUCUGGCAGCAACAAGUCCAGAACCCCACCUUCCGCCACACACUACUCACACAGUAGAAAUAAACUCUCUUCUACCAGCAACCACCUGCACCCCCUCCACCAAAGGUUAAUUCAUUUCAAACCCCAUUUUAAUUACGCUGUUAAUUCUCUCUCUCUCUCUCUCUCUCUCUCUCUCUCUCUCUCUCCCCCUAUAUAUAUAUAUAUAUAUAUAUAUAUUCAAUAUUCAUAUAUUGUCUGGCUAUAUACGCUGUUAAUUCCAAUGGCGCAUGGGAGUAGAGACUGUGAAAUUCCCUCUAAUAUUCAUAUGCAUAGAAAAACAUACACAUUUUUUUUUUAAGUUUAGCAUAUUAAACUUAUACACACUACACAAAUGCUAUGACUCAACUCUAGAACCUUCCAUAAAAAAGCUAUUAUUCUAAAUCACUACACUAGUUGAUCUUUUUUUUUUAAAAAAAAAAACACACAUAAAGAGCCCCGUGCUUGGCCAAAAAAAAAUCUAAACCAAAUUUACUCUUUUUUUUUAUUUAUAGUAAAUUGAGCUUAGACCAAUAAAAUUCAUUUUAAGUUACCUACAACCCUUUCCUUUAGUUUUCUAUUUAAAAUACCCAAUUUUUUCAAAUAAUACCCGAUGAUUAUGAUCCAACUAAGCAAGUUACCUAAAAUAACUUAAAAUUUGAUUUAUUGUAUUUUUCGGAUUCCAAAACUACCCAUAUUUAUAAGUUAAUAAGUUAUAGGGGGUGUAACUAAUGACACCCGUUGAAUUUAGAAAGAUCUCCAAAUAGUUAUAAUGGAUGUAGGAACUAAUUCAAAAAUUUAUUUGAAAUUAAAUAUUAAAUUCCACAUUGAAGUAUUAUUAAUCUAUUUUACGACUAGUAAUCUAUUUUUGAAUUAAUGGUGUUUUUCUUCUAUGAAUUACGACUAGUAAUCUAUUUAAAGUAUUAGUAAUUUAAAUUCAAUAUUAAAUUUAGGAAUUAAUGUUGUUUUCUUUUUAUGAAUUAUACGACCGGUAUUCUUUUUAUUAUAGUUUUAUGAAUAAUAGUGUACGUUCUAAUUAUAUUGAAAAAUAAUUUGAUAAUCUAUUUAUUGUUUUGUUUUUAAAAUAUUUUUUUUAAUGAACCUAUUUUUCUCCAAAUAUUGUACCUAUUUUUUUCUUUUUUAUUGUUUUAUGAAAAUAUAUUUGAUCAUAUUUUUAUUGUUUGUUUUAUGAAAAUAUUUUUUUUACAUGAGCCUAUUUUUUCUCUCAAAAUAAUGUAUCAAUUUUUUUUCCUCUAAUAAUGUACCUAGUAAAACAAUUUACCUAGUAUGAUGAACCUAUUUUUUCUGCUGAAUUUUGUAUCUAUUUUUUUCUAUAAAUAAUGUACCUAUUUUUUUUCUCUAAUAAUGUAUACCUGGUAAAACAAAUUUUCUAGUAUAAUGAACUUAUUUUUUUCUUCUAAAUAAUGUGCAUAUUUUUAAUUUAUAAAAAUGUGUAUAAAUUUCAAUUAUACAACGUACCUAUUUUCUAUAAAUUAUUGUGUACCUAUUUUUAAUUUAUGAAAAAUGUACGAAAAUUUCAAUUACGAAGUAACUGACCUAUUUUUGUCAAAUUUUUUCGGUAAAUAAUAUACCGAUAUUGUUAUAGGUAUAUAUUUAUAUUUAUAUUUUUCAUAUGUGCAUUAUUGGAUAUGUAAUUUACAUAUUAUUUUUUUUAUUUGCAAUUUUAAGGGGCCAUAUGCUAGAGAGAAUGGCAACCGAAAGAAAUGGGGUGAUUGAUAUGCUAUUAAUAGGGAGUUUUAAUUACAAUUAUGGCAGUUAAUGAAAGGCUUGGAAUAAAUUAUAAAUAAAAUAUGAAGUUUGAUGGCAAUGAUGUAAAAACAUAUGAAUACUACGACCUCUUAUAUCCUACUGGUCAUUUAAGUUUGAAAUUGCGUUUUACACAUAAAUUUAUAGAAUGAUGGGUAUAUGCCUGGAAAAAUAGAAUUUGUAGGGCAUAUAUAGUAACAAAGAAAAACAACAAAAUAACAUAGCCCCCGUGCCCCAUUACCUUUGUGUCUCUCUCACCCACAUGGCAUGCAUGGUCUUGUUACCCGUAAACUAGUGGCAGGCAUGCACAGAUGGAUAUAAUUGUGAAUAUAUGCAUAAAGAGUCACAUGUAUACAUACACUCAUCCCUUUCAAUGACCAGGUCAUACCAAUAACAAGGCAUCAAUAUUGGAAGUGGUACACAAGCAUGGGCCAUGCUCUAUAUUCCACAAAUCAUCCAAAACUUCAACCACAAAAAGUGAUGACAAAUACCACGCUCAAAUCCUCAAGCAAGACGAAGCCCGAGUCAACUCAAUCCACUCCCGCCUCAACUACAGAAUCCACGACCCAUUCACCCAAUCCUCCGCCUCCGCCACCCUCCCAGCCAAGUCCGGUCUCCUUCUGGGCUCACCGAACUACUUAGUCACCGUCGGUCUCGGCACACCCGCCAAGCAACUCUCUCUCGAAUUCGACACCGGCAGCGACCUCACCUGGACCCAAUGCCGCCCAUGUCUUCGAUAUUGUUACACACAGAGCGAGCCCAUCUUCGACCCUUCUCUCUCUGCCUCAUACAAAAACUUAUCCUGUACAUCCGCCACGUGUACUCAACUCUCAUCCGCCGGCAUCCCACACCGUUGCUCCUCCGCCUCGUCCUCCUGCCUUUACGGCAUCCGGUACGGUGACGGGUCCUUCUCCAUCGGGGAUUUCGCCAAAGAAAAGCUUACAUUGACCUCCAUGGACGUUUUUGAAGGUUUCCUCUUCGGCUGUGGCCAAGACAACCAAGGCCUUUUCAACGGCUCUGCCGGUUUGCUCGGUCUCGGCCGAAACAACAUCUCCCUCGUAGAACAAACCGCCAUGAAAUACAACCGCUUCUUCUCCUACUGCCUUCCGUCAACUUCCAGCUCCACCGGUCAUCUCACCUUCGGCAACGGAGGAGGCUCCGCUAACGGCGUCAAGUUCACCAAGCUCACCACGUUAUCCGAAAGAGAGUCGUCGUUUUAUGGCCUCGGCCUCACCGGCAUCAGCGUAGGCGGGUGCCAGCUGCCGGUUGCGUCCUCGGUCUUUUCGUCUUCGGGAACCAUCAUCGACUCGGGGACGGUGAUCACGAGGCUGCCGGCGACUGCAUACACGGCUUUGCGGGACGCGUUUCGGGAGGGUAUGAAAAACUACACGAUGACUAUGUCGUUUUCGCUGCUGGACACGUGUUACAAUGUCAGUGGCUACGAGACGGUGUCGUUUCCGGAUAUUGCGUUUGGAUUUGGGGACGGGGUUACGGUGGACUUGGACGCGGCCGGGAUAUUGUUGGCGGUAAGUGAUUCGCAGGUUUGUUUGGCGUUUGCGGGAAACAAGGAUGAUAGUGACAUUGGGAUUAUUGGGAAUGUUCAACAGAAGCGGUUGGAGGUGGUGUAUGACGUGGCUGGUGGAAAAGUCGGAUUUGCCCCUGCAAGUUGCCCCUGAGUAAUGAACAUCGUCCAUGGGGCAUAAUUGUAACACAAACUGCUAGCUAUAGAAUAAAGCAUUGUGUUCCAUAUUUUUCUGUAAUGGGAUUGUAUUGGGAAGUAUCCAAUUCUUACCUUUCCCCACUACUUGUAUAAAAUAGUCUAAUGACCAAUCAAGCGAUAGUAUUUUAUAUAAUAAUAAAAUAAUCGAAUGUAUUGGAAGGAAAAUUCCAACUCAAAUACAAAAAGGGGUUUAUUGCCCUAAUCAAUUCUCCUAACUCACGUAUGUUGUCGGUGUUUUGAAGUAAUGCCACGUGUUAAUGUGCUGUUUCUCUUUUGAAAUAGCAAAAGUAGAACACUAAUCUCCAUCUCCUAGUUUGGGCUUGUUUUGCUUUUGGACUCGACCAGGCCAACUUUAGCACAAAAUGUCUUAAGAAGGACCUAAAAGAAAAUAAAAAAAGAAAAGGUCAAUGAAUUGGGAAGGCUUUGGCUUGGGCUUGGGGUGGUUCAGCUUCAAAUUUUAACCAGUGCCUAGGGUUCAGUGUAUUGGUUUCAGCGGAAAGGCUCGUCAGUCUGCAGUCUGUGUCUUGGGCUGCCUAUCCUUAACUAACCACUUUCUGAUUGCUUUGUGUAUGGGCUUUUUUUUUUCGGCAGCUACAAAUGGGCUAGGCUGCUAUAAGGAGCGAAUUGAUAAAAUUAUCUCUUGUGUUUAAGUUCAAAGAUCAAGCCCCAAGAAUGCUUCUAAAGGAUAGUGAAGCCUUAAGAAACACUUUGGUUACCUUCACCAACAAAAAUAACAACAGCUUACAGAUAAAUUCUUAGCUUGGCAUGAGAAGCUUGUGGCAUGGGAGCUAAGCAUUCAUGAAUUUAGCAUGAGAGAGAGAAAUGAUUGAGAUUUCCUAUGAGAAAUAGAGUUUUUAAGGCAUGAGGGAAGGGAUUCUAAAAGGAUUUGUUGUGGAGAGAGAGGGGGAGAGAGAUGAGGGCAAUGGGUGGCUUAAGUGUUUUUCCACCAGCUUGACAGAGGCUCUGUCAAAUGUUAAAACAGUCUACCAAAAAAGGGAAAAUGGGAGAGAAUGAUGAAUAUAGCACGAAUUUGCUAGGUUUUGCAAGUGAGAGAGGAAGCUUGCUCUCUGGACGUGGUUGUGGCUAGUGGUGGAGUAUUGGGUGUUUUUGGUAGUUUUUCAGCAGCCUGACAAAAGCUUGCCAGAAGAGAAAAUAGAAGGAGAUGGAGGAAUAGGGCACGAAAUUGCAGAGUUUCAGAGAUGAGAGAUGAAGCUUGCUCUCUAGAUGUAGGUUGAGAUAAUUGGUAGGAAAUGCUUCUUUUUAUAGGCAUUAGAAGCUACUUUUUUUCAAGAAACCCUAAUAGUUUCUAUCCAAUUUGGCCAAGCUUUUUUCCUUCAUUUCUUCUCCAUUCCUUUGACUUAUCCUAUUUGGUGAAAUUCUCUCUGCCCAAUUGCACAAAAACAGAGAUUUUGGGAGCUCAAUGCUCUUCUCACAGCUGCCUCAGUAGAGAACUCCCAUUUUCAGCCAUCUUUCUUCCUUCUUUACUCCCCUCUUCUAUGGCUAGAUCUGAUGGGGGGGAAAGAAAUGGGUAUGUACACUGGUUUGAAGGGUGUUUUGCUCAAGUAUCCCUUGGUUUUUCUGAUGGCUUGCGUUGGAUUUGUCUUUGGCCAUGUGCUGGAGAUUCCCAGCAGCCUGCAAAUGUGAGUGGCUUUUGGCUUUUAUCAUGGUUUUGUCUCCAACCAUGUACCGGAGACUUUCAAAUAUUUUGUUGGUCACUUGGGCCAUUCUUUAAGGUAAAGGCGCUAGUUCACUAAAGGGAUGGGCCAACUUCCCAAAGUGAUGGGCUAUCUUUUCUAAGGUAAUGAGCUAUUUUCUCUCCUUUAUGUUUACCCACAUAUUUGGGCUCAAGAAAUGGACUUGAGUUUCGGGAUUCCCAAGCAGCCCAAAACUUCCAUUUCUCAGCUCAUCAAUAGGCCUCAUGAAAGCUCGUAACCAUCUAUACCACAACCCAAUCAGCAAGCCCAAGGCAUUCGCGUGGCUUGGGUCCACUUAAACUUGUAGUGUGGCGUGUUGCUUAUUUGCUUGGCGUGGCACGUGUGCAAGCGUAUAUGAUGAACUCUUGCGUACCUAAAUUAGGUUUCUUCCCAAGUUAGGUGUCGUACUAGGCCGAGAAUUUAUUCGGGCCCAACAGUGGAUUUUUUGAACCUCAACACUUAGGUAGCAAAAAUCAGAGGACACAGAGAGAUAGAGAGAGGGAGACAGCCACAGACCAUCAAGUACUUUAAGUUAGGUUUGAUUCAUGAUAUUAACUGACUCUUAUAUUUGCUUUAAUAUCCAUGUGGAUGAAAUUUAAAAUGUGAUAUCAUGUGGUUAAGUAGUGGUGUAGGAUUUGUCUUUCAAUGGUUUCAACCAAUUUCGUGGAUGUUAAGAUUGAUAUAGGUUGGUUGACAAUAGGUAGAUCGUCCUUAUCGUUUCUAAUCCUAAUAUGACAAUGCCUUAUAUUAAUUUUCUAAUUUUUGGUUGAAUAUCUUAUUUGAACAAAGGCAUCUGAAAAUUUGAUCAUUUUGAUGUGUAGAGGCCAUUGUUACACUUCGCAAAGAAAAAUAAUGUAUAUCUUUUGCUGGACAAAAUUACGCUUAUAUAUAUGUGCUGGCUAGUGUGUUCCAUUUCUUUUUGUUUUGUUAUUUGGCAAAUGUUACACUUUUGUACAGGGGAACAAUACCACCCAUCUUUCCUUUUGAAGUGUUAUUUGAAGAAAAUGAUUUUGAAUGAUUUGAAAGAAUUACAUAUGCACUUUAAAAAAAAUGCAACCUUCAAAAAUACAUCCAAAUAGCUAAAUAAAGUAUUUCUUGUUUGUUUUAUGGGAAAUAUGAAACUUUGCUCCCACAGAUGAUAUUGACGGAGAAAAGAAAGAAUUUUCGUUCCUAAACCAAGAAGAGAAAUCACGUGGGUUUUUGAUCAGAAGAGGAGAUUGGAAUGAGUAGGAGGGUAUUUUAGAAAUUUUCUCCCCACUAAAAAUAUUAUCAAAAUAUUAAAUAGAAAGUUUCUUUUAAAAAAAGAAUAAAAGAUAGAGUCAAAAGUUAUUAACAGCUGGCGUCAUCUCAUUAGGCUGGGACACUGACGUGGACAGCUGACCAUAGCAUACCCAUGGCAGGGAAGUUUUUCUCCAGUGGAGGAGACUGUGCAGAAGAAGAUAGCCUUUUUUCUUAUGCUUUUCUUUCCUCUGCCCUUCUCUUUUCUAACUUGCUAUCAUGGUAUGGUUCUGAGCUUUCUCAUUCUCACGUCUUUGUUGUUGUAAUUCUAUCUGAGAAAUUUAUAAAAUUCUUCUCUGUAUUCUUUUUGGUCAGUUGGGUGAGUGCUGUUUGAUUGCCUUGUUGCUUUUUUUCUUCCCUGAUCUAGGGUUUAGGGUUUCAAACAUUUUAUUGAGCUUGAAGAGGAAGUGAUGAUGAUAAAGCAAGGACCUUUUGAUAAAGAUUACUACUUCCUGAUGUGGGCCUUUGACCAUAGAAAGAGAUCAGAUAAAGCAAGGAAAUGGGAGAAAAUAUACGCCCUUUGGCAUUUGAUGGUCCUUGUUGCUUGCUUGUAAGUUGUAAUUGUCGGUGAGCAGGCUUAGCUAAAGAGAGUAAAGGAAAGCAACAGUGAGAGAGAGAACUCUCCCUCCUCUCUUUUCCACACUUUCUCUCUCCAUCUUCUUUUCUUUAUCUCCUUUACUUUGCCACACCCAAAGCAAUACUUACUAAACUAACUAAUCCAAAAUGAUUAUUAAUUUAUUAACUGGGGUUAAUUGCUGCAGCCUUCAUCCCAAAGCAAUACUUACUAAACUAACUAAUCCACAGGCUUCUUGUGAGGCAAUCUUUUCUCUUAUUCAAUUACCCCAGUUAAUAUGAAACUGUUGAAAUCAAUAUUUAUAUAAAUACAAUUGCGAAAAAAUAUUUACGAAAUUUUGUAAGUAAUACGUAGAGCACGUGAUUUAAAAAAAAUAUCUCACAUAUGAGAAAGCGCGUACAAAAAGACUAAUAAAACAUAAACAAAAAGGAUAAUCCUCAAGGGGAGCCACUAAUUAUUGAUCAUAUACCAGACAACUCCCAUCUUUAUAUAACUUCCAUUUUCAUUUUUCUUUUAAUUUUGUAAUUUGUAAUUUGGAUUUUUGGGAGGUGGAGUGGGAUAAGAAUUAUAGGGUGCGGUUCGUGUACCUAGGAAACCGCCACGUUCUUUCUUUAGGAAAUUUGGGAUAAAGUUAAAAAAACAUAAGUUGGGAGGUAGUGAAAUUAAAAGCAAGGCCAUGUGUUUCAUGAAUCAAAAUCAGACAGUUUUGUGUCCCAGUGAUGCAGAGAUAUAUACAAAUAUCAUUUAGACUUUUGCUUUUGGGCUUUGAUCAGGAUCUGAUCCGUUAUCUCAUCACCUUUUUUUUUUCUUUUUCCUUUUUUUACUCUUCAGUUUCUGCAUGUGCGUUACACUAACAUCAUUACUAAUCUCCUUUUUAUCUAAGCUGUCUUUCUGUAAAGGUAACACUGAUAUUCCUUCCCCAUAAUUCAAAGAAAAAAGGAGUUUGAGAUGUGGAAAUAUGGAUUCCCGAAUCAAAACUUUUUGAUUUUGUUAACGAUUAUAGUGGGCCCAUCAGUACUGGGAAUUUGUCUGCUUAUUUUGAAUUGAAAGCUACCUCUUGUUGGAAAACCUUAAAAGUUGUUUCUUUCCAAGCCCACUUACACUUGCUGUGUAAACUAAUGAAGUCUACAUGAAAGCAAUCUCAUGUCCUAUUGUGUAUAUGCAUGUGCUUAAUUGGUGUAUAUUCUGUAGUACCACAACAGAAUGUUUAACAUUCAAUUGGGGCUAAUUCCAUGAUAGAGUGGUAAUUGAACAGUAUCAAUACAUCAAUAAGUGCACAGUUGGGUAUACACAAUGAUCAAAAGGAGACAAAACAUAACAGCGGUUUAAGUGUUUCAUAAGAGAGUAAAAUAGAAGAAAUUGAGAACUGUUCAUAAGCAAAUCUGCCCAUUCAUAAGCAUACGUCUAAUUAUAAAAUCAAAGAACAAGAUACUGAAUAAAAAUAAAGUGAGAAAGAGAGAUUGUUAAAUGCUCUCAGCAACCAAUCAUAUUGUAAAAUGAGAAAGAGAGAUGAUUGUCGUCAAACCUUGCUACAACGGCCGAGAUCUUUGGAUCCACUAGAAUCUCCCCUUUCAGCUUCAACCCCAGAUAUUUCUUUGUCUUUGUACCUCUCAACCUUGAAAGCCCUUGGAACAAGGUGGUUCUAUAUACCAGACAAAAGAAACCAAUUAUCAAAUUUAAUCAGAAACUCACAUUACCAACAAACAAAACCCAGCUAUCCAAAAAAAUUCAAGAAACCAAAAGACAAAGGGAAUAGAAAAAGCAAACUGACAUUUGAUUUCAAAAUCCCCAAUUUCUAGGGUUUGAACUGAUGAGAGCGAGGAGGAGAGAUGGACGAAAAGAUAGAGAGAGAGAGAGAGAGAGAGAGAGAGAGCACGCGAGCUUCAAGCUUCUCCCAUGGAAGCUAGCUUGAGUGAGAACCAGUAGCACAGAGCGAACCAGCAGAUCCAACGACAAGAGAAAAAAAAUUCAAGAAAAACGCAUUUGUUUUGUUUUGAAUAAUAAGGGUCUUUUUGCAAAUGACCCCAUUGGUGUAGUGGUUUGGAGUAUUUACUCCCUCAGACAAGGUCUUGGAUUCGAGUCCUAGCAUCCGCAUAGUGUGUGUGAGUUUAGUAUGCUAUCGCCCCUCUCAAUGAGUCCUGUUUACCUGUUACCAAAGUUCCUGUGGCCUCCUGUUUCCCUGCUAGUUUCGUGACAUGUGGCAAGCCACUUAACACCACUUAACUCUGUUAACUCUUUUUGCUUCUUUUUAUUGUUUGUUUUUUUUGCUUUUUCUCCCAGUUCUGCCCCUUGAGGGUUUAGGGUUUAGGGUUUAGAGCUGGUGUUUCGGCUCGAGUCCAUGUGUUGUUUUGGGCUGGUAAGGGAAAAAUGAGCGGAAAAGAUAAGAGAAGGUAGGGAAAAAGGGGGUGAAGGAGAAACUAAAAAAAGAAAUAAAAAAGGAGAUGAGAGAAAAAGAAAAACAAAGCAAAAGCAAAAGCAAAAAAAAAAAAGAAGAGAGAGAGAGAGAGAGAGAGAGAGAGAGAGAGAGAGAGAGAGAGAAUGUGGAGGUAGAGAUCUGGAAAAGAUAACAAAAAAAGAAGAAGAGGAGAGGAGACGACGGAGGGAGGGGGAGAGAAGAGAGAAAGGGGCAUAACAGGGAGAAAAAGAAAAAAAGAAAAAAAAAGCAAAAAGAAGCAAAAAGAGUAAACAAAGUUAAGUGGUUUUAAGUGGCUUGCCACAUGUCAUGAAAUUAGCAGGGAAACAGGGGGCACAGGAACUUUAGUAACAGGUAAAUCGGACUCCCUCUCAAUAGGAAAUAUCCACAAAACACAAAAGAAAAAAAGGUCUUUUAAAAUUUGUUUUGGAAUUGGAUUUUUAAAAAUAGACCUACCAAACGAGUUUUUGGGCUUUUGAAUUUAAAAUCAGUUUUUGAGUUUAUAAAAUUGGACUCAAAUCAAAUACCAAACAGACCCUUAAAGACUUAAUGUUUUCUUAAAAUAUUGCGUUUGUUUAUUUUAUAGAGUACAAUUAUAUGUUUUAAAUAAUUUUCAAAUUAUCUAAUAUUUUUUAAGAAUCAACUGUAAAUUAUGCCUGACGGUGAAAAUACAAUUUACCUCAAAAAUAACUAAUUAUUUGACGUUAUUUGACGUGUUGAGAAGGCUAAAUAUGGAGUCUACAGAAGUCUAGAGAGACUUGACUAGUUGACAUCCCUGUCUCCAAUUAGCCUAUAUAGGGCCAAGAGUAUGCUUACAUUACAGCAGCAACUCAAUAAUCUAGAGGCACUCUUGUUAAUUAUUCAUGGCAACUCCCAUUAUUUCUAGCUCCUCCUUCCUUAGGUUUUUCAUGGCUUUCUUCUCUGUAUUUCUAUGCCUAAGUCUCUGCUCUUUCGAGAACGGAUUUGCUUUGGCAGCAAGAGAUACAAAACCCCACCCUCUCCCACAUACCACUCACACAGUUGAAGUGAAGUCUCUUCUACCAGCAACCACCUGCAGCCCCUCCACCAAAGGUUAAUUCAUCCCAUAUUAUAUAUAUAUAUUAAUUUCAAACCCCAUUUUAUGUGCAUUUAUGUAUCUCUAACACACACACACACACUCUGUCUCUGUCUCUCUCUCUCUCUCUCUCUCUCUCUCUCUCUCUCUCUAUGCAUACAUGUUUCAAUGAUCUCAGGUCAUAACAUUAACAAGGCAUCAUCGGUACUGAAAGUGGUGCACAAACAUGGGCCAUGCUCCAAUUUCCACAAAUCAUCAAAAACUUCAACCACAACUUGUGAUGAAAAAUACCAUGCUCAAAUCCUCAAGCAAGACCAAGCCCGAGUCAACUCAAUCCACUCCCGCCUCAACCACAACAACAACAAAGACCCACUCACCCAAUCCGCCGCCACCACCCUCCCCGCCAAGUCUGGUCUCGUUAUCGGCACAGGGAACUACAUUGUCACCGUCAGCCUCGGUACACCCGCCAAGCAACUCUCCCUCGCCUUCGACACCGGCAGCGACCUCACCUGGACCCAAUGCAAGGCAUGUUCUGCUACUCAGUCUUGUUACAAACAGAGAGAGCCCAUCUUCAACCCUUUUCUCUCCGCCUCAUACAAAAAAAUCUCAUGUACCACCGCCGCGUGUACUCAGCUCUCAUCCAUCGGCGUCCAACACGGCUGCUCCGCCUCCACCUCCGCCUGCCUCUACGGCACCCGUUACGGAGACAACUCCUUCUCUGUCGGGGUCUUUGGCAGCGAAAAGCUUACAUUGACCCCGACGGACAUUUUUGAAGGUUUCCUCUUCGGCUGCGGCCUAAAGAACAAAGGCCUUUUCGGCGGCUCUGCCGGUAUGCUCGGUCUCGGCCGGAGCAACAC